CCAAAGGCUCUUUUAAGAGCCACCCAUGUCUACACAGAGAGAGCUU
This is a non-coding RNA of Danio rerio (zebrafish), 46 nucleotides long. Lineage: Eukaryota; Metazoa; Chordata; Actinopteri; Cypriniformes; Danionidae. The record is from Rfam.